Molecule: ribosomal RNA, 506 nt
Filed under: uncultured soil bacterium
Lineage: Bacteria
Description: bacterial SSU rRNA
Rfam family: Bacterial small subunit ribosomal RNA
Source: RNAcentral
AGAUUGAACGCUGGCGGCAUGCUUUACACAUGCAAGUCGAACGGCAGCACGGGGGCAACCCUGGUGGCGAGUGGCGAACGGGUGAGUAAUGCAUCGGAACGUAUCCUUAAGUGGGGGAUAACGCAUCGAAAGAUGCGCUAAUACCGCAUAAUCUCUGAGGAGAAAAGCAGGGGAUCGCAAGACCUUGCGCUUUUGGAGCGGCCGAUGUCUGAUUAGCUAGUUGGUGAGGUUAAAGGCUUACCAAGGCUUCGAUCAGUAGCUGGUCUGAGAGGACGACCAGCCACACUGGGACUGAGACACGGCCCAGACUCCUACGGGAGGCAGCAGUGGGGAAUUUGGACAAUGGGGGCAACCCUGAUCCAGCCAUGCCGCGUGAGUGAAGAAGGCCUUCGGGUUGUAAGCGUCUUUCGACGCCGGAACGAAACGGUUACGGUUAAUACCGUGACUACGUAGACGGUACGGAAGAAGAAGACGACCGGCUAACUACGUGCAGCAGCCGCGUAACG